CUACGUGCCAGCAGCCGCGGUAAUACGGAAGGUCCAGGCGUUAUCCGGAUUUAUUGGGUUUAAAGGGAGCGUAGGCUGGAGAUUAAGUGUGUUGUGAAAUGUAGACGCUCAACGUCUGAAUUGCAGCGCAUACUGGUUUCCUUGAGUACGCACAACGUAGGCGGAAUUCGUCGUGUAGCGGUGAAAUGCUUAGAUAUGACGAAGAACUCCGAUUGCGAAGGCAGCUUACGGGAGCACAACUGACGCUGAAGCUCGAAGGUGCGGGUAUCAAACAGGAUUAGAUACCCUGGUAGUCCGCACAGUAAACGAUGGAUGCCCGUUGUCAGUUCACUUAAGAAUUAGCGACCAAGCGAAAGCAUUAAGCAUCCCACCUGGGGAGUACGCCGGCAACGGUGAAACUCAAAGGAAUUGACGGGGGCCCGCACAAGCGGAGGAACAUGUGGUUUAAUUCGAUGAUACGCGAGGAACCUUACCCGGGCUUGAA
This 484-nucleotide ribosomal RNA is filed under the name uncultured bacterium. RNAcentral describes it as "bacterial SSU rRNA". It matches the Rfam family "Bacterial small subunit ribosomal RNA", at positions 501 to 985 of the family's 1533-position model. The record is from RNAcentral.